This 253-nucleotide ribosomal RNA is filed under the name uncultured bacterium. RNAcentral describes it as "partial 16S ribosomal RNA". It matches the Rfam family "Bacterial small subunit ribosomal RNA", at positions 524 to 776 of the family's 1533-position model. The record is from RNAcentral.
UACGUAGGGUGCGAGCGUUGUCCGGAAUUACUGGGCGUAAAGAGCUCGUAGGUGGUUUGUCGCGUUGUUCGUGAAAACUCACAACUCAACUGUGGGCGUGCGGGCGAUACGGGCAGACAGGAGUACUGCAGGGGAGACUGGAAUUCCUGGUGUAGCGGUGGAAUGCGCAGAUAUCAGGAGGAACACCGGUGGCGAAGGCGGGUCUCUGGGCAGUAACUGACGCUGAGGAGCGAAAGCGUGGGGAGCGAACAGG